UACGGAGGGUGCAAGCGUUAUCCGGAUUUACUGGGUUUAAAGGGUGCGUAGGCGGGUUAGUAAGUCAGUGGUGAAAGCCUACAGCUCAACUGUAGAAUUGCCAUUGAUACUGCUGACCUUGAGUAUAGUUGAGGUGGGCGGAAUACAGCAUGUAGCGGUGAAAUGCAUAGAUAUGCUGUAGAACACCAAUUGCGAAGGCAGCUCGCUAAACUAUUACUGACGCUGAGGCACGAAAGCGUGGGUAGCGAACAGG
Molecule: ribosomal RNA, 253 nt
Filed under: uncultured bacterium
Lineage: Bacteria
Description: partial 16S ribosomal RNA
Rfam family: Bacterial small subunit ribosomal RNA
Source: RNAcentral